AUACGUAGGUGACAAGCGUUAUCCGGAUUUACUGGGUGUAAAGGGCGUGUAGGCGGUUUAGCAAGUCAGAAGUGAAAUUCCCGGGCUUAACUUGGGCGCUGCUUCUGAAACUGCUUUACUUGAGUGCUGGAGAGGAUAGUGGAAUUCCUAGUGUAGCGGUAAAAUGCGCAGAUAUUAGGAGGAACACCGGUGGCGAAGGCGGCUAUCUGGACAGUAACUGACGCGGAGGCGCGAAAGCACGGGGAGCAAACAGGAUUAGAUACCCUGGUAGUCCGUGCCGUAAACGAUGAAUACUAGGUGUAGGGGGUAUCGACUCCCUCUGUGCCGCAGUUAACACAAUAAGUAUUCCGCCUGGGGAGUACGGCCGCAAGGUUGAAACUCAAAUGAAUUGACGGGG
RNAcentral lists this ribosomal RNA (397 nucleotides) under uncultured bacterium. Its description in RNAcentral is "partial 16S ribosomal RNA". It matches the Rfam family "Bacterial small subunit ribosomal RNA", at positions 523 to 918 of the family's 1533-position model. The record is from RNAcentral.